Molecule: ribosomal RNA, 465 nt
Filed under: uncultured Klebsiella sp.
Lineage: Bacteria; Pseudomonadati; Pseudomonadota; Gammaproteobacteria; Enterobacterales; Enterobacteriaceae
Description: bacterial SSU rRNA
Rfam family: Bacterial small subunit ribosomal RNA
Source: RNAcentral
CCUACGGGAGGCAGCAGUGGGGAAUAUUGCACAAUGGGCGCAAGCCUGAUGCAGCCAUGCCGCGUGUGUGAAGAAGGCCUUCGGGUUGUAAAGCACUUUCAGCGGGGAGGAAGGCGUUAAGGUUAAUAACCUUGGCGAUUGACGUUACCCGCAGAAGAAGCACCGGCUAACUCCGUGCCAGCAGCCGCGGUAAUACGGAGGGUGCAAGCGUUAAUCGGAAUUACUGGGCGUAAGGCGCACGCAGGCGGUCUGUCAAGUCGGAUGUGAAAUCCCCGGGCUCAACCUGGGAACUGCAUUCGAAACUGGCAGGCUAGAGUCUUGUAGAGGGGGGUAGAAUUCCAGGUGUAGCGGUGAAAUGCGUAGAGAUCUGGAGGAAUACCGGUGGCGAAGGCGGCCCCCUGGACAAAGACUGACGCUCAGGUGCGAAAGCGUGGGGAGCAAACAGGAUUAGAUACCCUUGUAGUC